This 1383-nucleotide long non-coding RNA is filed under the name Numida meleagris (helmeted guineafowl). Its description in RNAcentral is "lncRNA (ENSNMEG00000013702.1)". The record is from RNAcentral. Lineage: Eukaryota; Metazoa; Chordata; Aves; Galliformes; Numididae.
GCGGGGGCCGGCCCUGGCCGCUCCGCCUAUUGGGACUGGGGGGCCUGGGCCAGCCGUCGGCGCGGUGAUAAUGGGGCGCUGCCGUCUGGAGCCCCACGGCCACUGAAACCGCAGUGACACGACAUCGGUGGAAGGGACAGAGCAUUUCCAGGAGCAUCUACGCAGUCCAUGGCACCACGGGACUGGGUUGUAGGCACAGUUGGAAGGCGGCUUGGUAAGAAUCAGCCAAACCCUCAUCACCUUCCAAGUGAAGACCGAAAAUGUAUUUGGAUAAGGGCACCCGCUUUGGUCACAUAAACCGGCACUGUAAGGAUUCUCAGCGAAAUGAAACGAAAGAAGGCAGCAUUGCCUUUAUCUCGUUCGAACAUCUUAUUUCCUCACUCAGGCAGCUUAAAACCCGGUGCCGUGCACCCGCUGGUCCAGUGCGGGUUUUAUAAAUGACGGAAACACAGCGGUAGUGAGCAAGGUGAGACACCGGCAUCGUGGAGCGUGCUCACUUCGAGACACCUUGCGUUGACGUCCCCCUCUCCGUUGUGCUCUUCGGUUCCACAGCAGCGAACGGCUCCCAGAGCUCUGACGCCUCGGGGUAUCCCCGAUGCAGGGGCCGAACCGCUGUCUGAGGAGGGGCACCUGCCCCAGCCCAGCCAGGAGCCGGGGUUCGUUUCACCCCUGUUCGCACACACGCGCCAGCCCUACAUCUCCCUUACACCAGCGUCGAGGUGCUUCCGAGCCCAACUCACCGCUCCCCGAGCAGCAAGGCCCCACAUCGCUUCCCCGAAAGCUCCCGGCGCUUCCCGACCCCCCCGUGGCCCCGAGCCCCCGGCAUCCGAAAGGUGCCCGGUUCCCCUGCACCAUCGCACACCGCAAGCCGAACUCCGCCGAGCUGCCCCGAGCCCUCCGCCCCCGCCGCACGCAGCGCGGAGCCUCCCCGGGCUCACAGAGGAGCCGGGAGGACACCGCGGAGCUCCCGACCCCGCGGCUGCUGAGGGAGCAGAGCGGCGUGCGGGAUCCCGGGCGCAGGAACAACGUAAUCGAGAUCGGAGCCGCUCAUUGUACAUGAAGAUUAAUUCAGCAUUACAAAGAUCUCACAGAUCACUGAGAUCGCUAAGAUCACAAAGCGGUUGUGUUUUUCUCAGUGAAAUUAAAAUACGUUUGGACUGCACCAGGAGCUGUCAUUACGGCUUUCCUGCCCUUCCGUUCAAGGCUGAGCUGCACAGGACCAAGCACAGAGCGGUGCCUGGGGCCGGGCAGAGCUCCCCAAGCCUGCAUUUCCAAGAACACAAAUCCUGUCCGUUUUUAUACUUAAAUGUGAAAGUUGCUGUGGCUGAAGCUGGGAAGCCAGUGUCCCCUCACACCGACUACUUCUCAUCACAGAAGGGAUGA